RNAcentral lists this ribosomal RNA (253 nucleotides) under uncultured bacterium. RNAcentral's name for it is "partial 16S ribosomal RNA". It matches the Rfam family "Bacterial small subunit ribosomal RNA", at positions 524 to 776 of the family's 1533-position model. The record is from RNAcentral.
UACGGAGGGGGCUAGCGUUGUUCGGAAUUACUGGGCGUAAAGGGCACGUAGGCGGCUUUGUAAGUUAGAGGUGAAAGCCCGGGGCUCAACUCCGGAAUUGCCUUUAAAACUGCAUCGCUAGAAUUGUGGAGAGGUAAGUGGAAUUCCGAGUGUAGAGGUGAAAUUCGUAGAUAUUCGGAAGAACACCAGUGGCGAAGGCGACUUACUGGACACAUAUUGACGCUGAGGUGCGAAAGCGUGGGGAGCAAACAGG